AAGUCGUAACAAGGUUUCCGUAGGUGAACCUGCGGAAGGAUCAUUACAAAAAGGCCCAAAUAGUAUGCUUGGUGCAUAUCAACUGCUAUUUGAACCUUUAUUCUACCUUGAUUUUUUUGCGUACUCCUGUUUCCUUGGUAGGCUUGCCUGCCAGCUGGACAAAUCUAUAACCCUUUUAAUAUUUAAUCAGCGUCUGAGUAAAUGUAAUAAUUACAACUUUCAACAACGGAUCUCUUGGUUCUG
RNAcentral lists this unclassified non-coding RNA (243 nucleotides) under Phaeosphaeria spartinicola. RNAcentral's name for it is "partial internal transcribed spacer region". The stretch from base 1 to 46 matches the Rfam family "Eukaryotic small subunit ribosomal RNA", at positions 1786 to 1831 of the family's 1831-position model. Lineage: Eukaryota; Fungi; Ascomycota; Dothideomycetes; Pleosporales; Phaeosphaeriaceae. The record is from RNAcentral.